AUUAGCCUACGGGGGGCAGCAGUGGGGAAUAUUGGGCAAUGGGCGCAAGCCUGACCCAGCAACGCCGCGUGAAGGAAGAAGGCUUUCGGGUUGUAAACUUCUUUUCUCAGGGACGAAGAAAGUGACGGUACCUGAGGAAUAAGCCACGGCUAACUACGUGCCAGCAGCCGCGGUAAUACGUAGGUGGCAAGCGUUAUCCGGAUUUACUGGGUGUAAAGGGCGGGUAGGCGGGGAAGCAAGUCAGGUGAGACAACCACG
RNAcentral lists this ribosomal RNA (258 nucleotides) under uncultured bacterium. RNAcentral's name for it is "partial 16S ribosomal RNA". It matches the Rfam family "Bacterial small subunit ribosomal RNA", at positions 333 to 605 of the family's 1533-position model. The record is from RNAcentral.